AUACGGAGGGUGCGAGCGUUAAUCGGAAUUGCUGGGCGUAAAGCGUACGUAGGCGGUUGGUUAAGUUAGAUGUGAAAGCCCCGGGCUUAACCUGGGAACUGCAUUUAAAACUGGCGAACUAGAGUUGAGUAGAGGGGAGUGGAAUUUCAGGUGUAGCGGUGAAAUGCGUAGAGAUCUGAAGGAACACCAGUGGCGAAGGCGACUCCCUGGACUCGAACUGACGCUGAGGUGCGAAAGCGUGGGUAGCAAACGGGAUUAGAUACCCGUGUAGUCC
This 274-nucleotide ribosomal RNA is filed under the name uncultured bacterium. RNAcentral describes it as "partial 16S ribosomal RNA". It matches the Rfam family "Bacterial small subunit ribosomal RNA", at positions 523 to 796 of the family's 1533-position model. The record is from RNAcentral.